ACACACGGCGGGUGCUAACGUCCGUCGUGAAGAGGGAAACAACCCAGACCGCCAGCUAAGGUCCCAAAGUCAUGGUUAAGUGGGAAACGAUGUGGGAAGGCCCAGACAGCCAGGAUGUUGGCUUAGAAGCAGCCAUCAUUUAAAGAAAGCGUAAUAGCUCACUGGUCGAGUCGGCCUGCGCGGAAGAUGUAACGGGGCUAAACCAUGCACCGAAGCUGCGGCAGCGACACUGUGUGUUGUUGGGUAGGGGAGCGUUCUGUAAGCCUGCGAAGGUGUGCUGUGAGGCAUGCUGGAGGUAUCAGAAGUGCGAAUGCUGACAUAAGUAACGAUAAAGCGGGUGAAAAGCCCGCUCGCCGGAAGACCAAGGGUUCCUGUCCAACGUUAAUCGGGGCAGGGUGAGUCGACCCCUAAGGCGAGGCCGAAAGGCGUAGUCGAUGGGAAACAGGUUAAUAUUCCUGUACUUGGUGUUACUGCGAAGGGGGGACGGAGAAGGCUAUGUUGGCCGGGCGACGGUUGUCCCGGUUUAAGCGUGUAGGCUGGUUUUCCAGGCAAAUCCGGAAAAUCAAGGCUGAGGCGUGAUGACGAGGCACUACGGUGCUGAAGCAACAAAUGCCCUGCUUCCAGGAAAAGCCUCUAAGCAUCAGGUAACAUCAAAUCGUACCCCAAACCGACACAGGUGGUCAGGUAGAGAAUACCAAGGCGCUUGAGAGAACUCGGGUGAAGGAACUAGGCAAAAUGGUGCCGUAACUUCGGGAGAAGGCACGCUGAUACGUAGGUGAAGUCCCUCGCGGAUGGAGCUGAAAUCAGUCGAAGAUACCAGCUGGCUGCAACUGUUUAUUAAAAACACAGCACUGUGCAAACACGAAAGUGGACGUAUACGGUGUGACGCCUGCCCGGUGCCGGAAGGUUAAUUGAUGGGGUCAGCGCAAGCGAAGCUCUUGAUCGAAGCCCCGGUAAACGGCGGCCGUAACUAUAACGGUCCUAAGGUAGCGAAAUUCCUUGUCGGGUAAGUUCCGACCUGCACGAAUGGCGUAAUGAUGGCCAGGCUGUCUCCACCCGAGACUCAGUGAAAUUGAACUCGCUGUGAAGAUGCAGUGUACCCGCGGCAAGACGGAAAGACCCCGUGAACCUUUACUAUAGCUUGACACUGAACAUUGAGCCUUGAUGUGUAGGAUAGGUGGGAGGCUUUGAAGUGUGGACGCCAGUCUGCAUGGAGCCGACCUUGAAAUACCACCCUUUAAUGUUUGAUGUUCUAACGUUGACCCGUAAUCCGGGUUGCGGACAGUGUCUGGUGGGUAGUUUGACUGGGGCGGUCUCCUCCUAAAGAGUAACGGAGGAGCACGAAGGUUGGCUAAUCCUGGUCGGACAUCAGGAGGUUAGUGCAAUGGCAUAAGCCAGCUUGACUGCGAGCGUGACGGCGCGAGCAGGUGCGAAAGCAGGUCAUAGUGAUCCGGUGGUUCUGAAUGGAAGGGCCAUCGCUCAACGGAUAAAAGGUACUCCGGGGAUAACAGGCUGAUACCGCCCAAGAGUUCAUAUCGACGGCGGUGUUUGGCACCUCGAUGUCGGCUCAUCACAUCCUGGGGCUGAAGUAGGUCCCAAGGGUAUGGCUGUUCGCCAUUUAAAGUGGUACGCGAGCUGGGUUUAGAACGUCGUGAGACAGUUCGGUCCCUAUCUGCCGUGGGCGCUGGAGAAUUGAGGGGGGCUGCUCCUAGUACGAGAGGACCGGAGUGGACGCAUCACUGGUGUUCGGGUUGUCAUGCCAAUGGCACUGCCCGGUAGCUAAAUGCGGAAGAGAUAAGUGCUGAAAGCAUCUAAGCACGAAACUUGCCCCGAGAUGAGUUCUCCCUGACUCCUUGAGAGUCCUGAAGGAACGUUGAAGACGACGACGUUGAUAGGCCGGGUGUGUAAGCGCAGCGAUGCGUUGAGCUAACCGGUACUAAUGAACCGUGAGGCUUAACCUUACAACGCCGAAGGUGUUU
RNAcentral lists this ribosomal RNA (1979 nucleotides) under Escherichia coli. RNAcentral describes it as "partial 23S ribosomal RNA". It matches the Rfam family "Bacterial large subunit ribosomal RNA", at positions 984 to 2925 of the family's 2925-position model. Lineage: Bacteria; Pseudomonadati; Pseudomonadota; Gammaproteobacteria; Enterobacterales; Enterobacteriaceae. The record is from RNAcentral.